This is a non-coding RNA of Pimephales promelas (fathead minnow), 672 nucleotides long. The record is from RefSeq and is a predicted model, not a curated record. NCBI's taxonomy places the organism in Eukaryota, Metazoa, Chordata, Actinopteri, Cypriniformes, Leuciscidae.
UGCACCCAAAAGCCUAUAAAUCCUAAAGGAAAAUUCAGAACUUCACAAAAAUUGAUGAGCAUAUGUGUCAUAACAUGUUGAAGAAGCAUGUACAGUUAUGGAGAUCGGACCAUAGAUGCUUCAGCAGCUGAAGAAUCUUGCCCUGGAGGCUGAGACAGAGCUGGAGCGUCAAGACGAGGCUCUGGAUCUAUUGAGUUGUUCUACCGACCACACCACCAUGAACAUAAACAGGCAUACCAGCCGCAUGAGGAAACUGUUGUGAACGUAAUGCUUAAUGCCAGAUUAAUGGUCAACAUAGAUCUGCAACCUGCAAACUAAAUCUGACAACACACAAAUACUUUUUAACAUAAUUUUGCAUGGCUUGACAUUCUAACCCUCUGGAGAAAAAUGUAGUGAACUCUGAGAUAAUUUAAGCACUGUAAUCAAUUUGAAGUUGUUGCUGUUAUGAAGUGACAUCUCAGUAUUUCUCAAGAUUCUGUACGUUGUCAUCCACUUAAAAGUAAUGCACUCUAUCUUAGGUGUAAUCCUGCUUUUUUGUCAGUUAUAUGUGUGCUGGACCUCAAUCAGUUGAUUCAAUAAGGUGUCCAUUAGUGUAAAGUAAACUGAUAAUGUAUUUAUUUACUGUGUUCUUUGUGAUCAAGAAAAGUGUAAAAUAAACUCAAAUUGACAUUU